AUUGAACGCUGGCGGCAUGCCUUACACAUGCAAGUCGAACGGCAGCACGGAGCUUGCUCUGGUGGCGAGUGGCGAACGGGUGAGUAAUAUAUCGGACCGUACCCAAGAGUGGGGGAUAACGUAGCGGAAGUUACGCUAAUACCGCAUACGAUCUAGGGAUGAAAGCAGUGGACCUUCGGGCCUUGUGCUCCUGGAGCGGCGGAUAUCUGAUUAGCUAGUUGGUGAGGUAAAGGCUCGCCAAGGCAUCGAUCAGUAGCUGGUCUGAGAGGACGACCAGCCACACUGGAACGGAGACACGGUCCAGACUCCUACGGGAGGCAGCAGUGGGGAAUUUUGGACAAUGGGGGCAACCCUGAUCCAGCAAUGCCGCGUGAGUGAAGAAGGCCUUCGGGUUGUAAAGCUCUUUUGUCAGGGAAGAAACGGUGAAGGCUAAUAUCCUUUGCUAAUGACGGUACCUGAAGAAUAUGCACCGGCUAACUACGUGCCAGCCGCCGCCGUAA
Molecule: ribosomal RNA, 500 nt
Filed under: uncultured bacterium
Lineage: Bacteria
Description: partial 16S ribosomal RNA
Rfam family: Bacterial small subunit ribosomal RNA
Source: RNAcentral